Cyprinus carpio carpio is the source of this 358-nucleotide long non-coding RNA. The record is from Ensembl. NCBI's taxonomy places the organism in Eukaryota, Metazoa, Chordata, Actinopteri, Cypriniformes, Cyprinidae.
AGAGCCUGAAAUGCCAACUCCUGUUAACAUCCAAAGUGCUACUUUCAGAGGGAGAUGGUUCAAAAAACUUCUGUCGUCGCUUAAGGACUCUGACGUGUCAUAUCUUCCAACACAUUCCGUUGACAGAUAUUUAAUCAAUAUAUUUCAAAAGCUCAUCCUGCAGAAAUGUCCCUGCCAACAGCAUCUACAGAAUCCUUAUUUAAAUGAAAUUAUUUCUAUCUUCGCAUAUACACAUUGGUCUUCCAAUAAAAUGUAAUCACGAUAUAGUAGGGUUAUGGAAGUCUUGGAGUCAUUUCCAAAAAAAUAAAGUAAAAACUGUAAAUCAGUUUUAUUUAUUGAGACAGAUGAUGAACUGCCC